Molecule: long non-coding RNA, 833 nt
Organism: Seriola aureovittata
Lineage: Eukaryota; Metazoa; Chordata; Actinopteri; Carangiformes; Carangidae
Exons: 4
Source: RefSeq, a predicted model, not a curated record
CUUACAGCUGCUGCAGUGACAGACGACUGGAGGCAGAUGGAGAUGGAGCACAGUAUAUUACAGGGAGCAUCACCAACAGCGGCUGCAGUGACAGACGACCGGAGGCAGGUGGAGCUACAGGUUCUCAGAUGAAAGCGGUGAGGACAGUGAGAAAAAACACUGCCAUUUUGGGCUUUGACUCGAUCCUGCUGAGGAUGUUUGUGAUGAACAGAAAGUGAUGGUGAUGCCGCACCACCACCACAACCACCACUGACUGACCCAGAUGAGGAAGGAAUGAAUGAAGAGAGGAAGCUCAGAGCAUGACAGACUGUUCUGGGGCAAACCUCUCAUGUACAUGAUUGCAGAUGAACGUAUGGUGCCUUGCAAAGGAUUUCACAGUACAUCAGGUACAAACUAACCAAGUAGAUUUCAGGUUCCCCACAGGCCAGGGACUCACUUAUGACUGUUGUGUGAGUUACACUCACAUAUUUGGGUUCUGGAUACCAAAGCUUUUGAAGAAUGUUUUUGCUUGUAGGUUUGCUACUUGUGGACACAGAGCCCACAGAAGACCCCUGCAAAGACAGCAUGUAGAAUCAUCUGCAUGUUACUGCUGGGCGCCAAAAGCCCUUUGGAAGUGCAAAGAAUGUGAUGUCAAUCUUUGCCUUCAACAAGACACAAACUGUUUUCAAGCUUGGCAUCUUGAUCAAGACUGAAAAGAUAAGCUGGAACUUUAUUCAUCCCAAAAUGUUGUAUUAUUCCGAUAAUUUAGUGUGAUUGCACUUUCAGUUCAUCAAAAUGUCAUCCAUUGUAUGUUUGGGGUUGAUCACAGCAUUUUCAAUAAACUGGAAAAAGUC